Molecule: small RNA, 387 nt
Filed under: Pongo abelii (Sumatran orangutan)
Lineage: Eukaryota; Metazoa; Chordata; Mammalia; Primates; Hominidae
Description: processed transcript
Source: RNAcentral
AAGAGUAAAAGAACUGUGGCUUCCACCCCAUCAGAAGGGCACUGGAUGAUGGAUGAACUCUGUGUGGUGUGUCUUCACACUGACACCAGGAGGAUAAGGAAGUGAGUGACUCCCUCAGCUGAGUGGCCGGCAUGUGCCAGGCUAGAGCAGCCUGGCUAUGGCAAUACAUCCAGCCCCACCGUGUGGACGGGCGGCCAGGCGGCCAGGCUGCAGGAGGAGUGUGACUAUGUGCAGAUGAUCGAGGUGCAGCACAAGCAGUGCCUGGAGGAGGCCCAGCUGGAGAAUGAGACAAUAGGCUGCAGCAAGAUGUGGGACAACCUCACCUGCUGGCCAGCCACCCCUCGGGGCCAGGUAGUUGUCUUGGCCUGUCCCCUCAUCUUCAAGCUC